Choloepus didactylus (southern two-toed sloth) is the source of this 1419-nucleotide long non-coding RNA. RefSeq lists it as uncharacterized. The record is from RefSeq and is a predicted model, not a curated record. The transcript has 3 exons. NCBI's taxonomy places the organism in Eukaryota, Metazoa, Chordata, Mammalia, Pilosa, Megalonychidae.
CUGGACGCGGGCCAGGGGAUGGAGCGGGGUGGAGGCCCUACUCUGCGGCUUUGGCGCAUCUCUACCUUUUCACUGGCCUGUCCUGCAAAAUGACCCGAUCGCUGGUGUCUGUCCCCAUCUUCCAGGCCUGGCCCAUUCAUUCUGCCUCUGGGAGGAUGGGUGGGUGCGAUGAUUAGCGCAGGAGCAGGGGUAGGCUGAAUGCGGGUGGGUUCUGGUGCGGUGGGAGCAGAUUCUGCGGAGUCAGGGUUAGAAGGCCUCACAAAGGAGGUAAUGCCCCAACCAAGUCUACAGGAAAAGGUGGGAGUUUCUGUGUUGUGGACGGUGCCGGGAAAACCACUACUGAGUGCUUUAUCUGCAUUAUCAUUUAAUCUUUACUGCAACCCAUUGUGAUGGAUACGUCUUCCCCCCAUUUUACAGAUGAUGAAAGAGAAGCCAUCUCUUAAAACAGUUAAGCAUUUUGCCUACCUUAAUCACAGUACAUGGUAGAAUCAGAAAUUGAAUUCCAAAACCUAGAUUCAACCAUACCUCUGACAAACGCCUUUUGAGUAACUUGUGCUCAGCUUUAUACUAGACUUUCUGAGGGAAAACAGGUAGAAAUCCCAGUCCCUACCUUCUAAGCAGUGCAGAUUUGUCCAACACCUGGAUCGUAUGCUAAAAAUUCAAAGCAAAGUGCUCAGGUAAAUGGUGCAGGCAAUAUGUGAUGUGGAAGUUCAGAGGUGAGAGAGAGCAAUCAGCUGGAGUUGCUCAAUGAAGGAGACCCGUUUGAGCUGGGUGUGAUUUGGAAGAUUGCUGGAAGGACAUUCUAGGCAGGAAACAGCACCAGCAAAGGCUCACAGGCUGGAGAUGUGACUUCUUCCUGUGCAGUUGCCUGAGGGACCUCAAAUAAUGGCCUGUGUAGCCACUCAGUUUCUGAGAAAUGCUGGUUGUAGUGAGGAGUCUGGAAGGAUCCUGACCUGUCCUCAAUUCUGCAGCUGACGGCUAAGACCCAGGGAUCUUAUUUUCUUCAGAUUCUAGAAGUCUGUGCAAUCACCAUACUAGCUCUUCCCUUGGCCUCAUCACCAUCCUGUAUCCUGGAGUUGUCCUAAAUAAGGAAUCCUGGUUUAAGACACCUGAGUAUCAGGUUCUUUUCCCGAGGAAUCCUCUGAUCUUCGUGGAGCAUGGACUCCAUAUCUCUACGUACAAAGGCAUGAGUUUUCCAUUUCUGGAAACAGACCCUGCUGCCUCUAUUUGGAGCCAUCGAGGCUGUGCCUGAAAGUGCCUCCCAAGCUUGAGACGGGCAAGUUCACUUGUACUCUCUGCUUCAUUCUGGAAAUACAGAAUGUAAAAGCAGAUCAGGCCUGCAGACCUCCCAGGGUAAAGACCCUCAAAGCUGGCCUCAUCUUAUUGGCUCUGAGGCCCCCUCUGCACCACACUCACACU